CGGGGAGUAGCUCAGCUUGGUAGAGCAUCUGCUUUGGGAGCAGAGGGUCGCAGGUUCGAAUCCUGUCUCCCCGACCA
Molecule: transfer RNA, 77 nt
Filed under: Sphingobium sp.
Lineage: Bacteria; Pseudomonadati; Pseudomonadota; Alphaproteobacteria; Sphingomonadales; Sphingobiaceae
Also listed under: 5 other names
Description: tRNA-Pro
Rfam family: tRNA
About the family: Transfer RNA (tRNA) molecules are approximately 80 nucleotides in length.
Source: RNAcentral